UACGGAGGAUGCGAGCGUUAUCCGGAUUUAUUGGGUUUAAAGGGUGCGCAGGCGGUCUGUUAAGUCAGCGGUCAAAGCCCGGGGCUCAACCCCGGCCCGCCGUUGAAACUGGGGAUCUAGAGUGUGCGAGAGGUAUGCGGAAUGCGUGGUGUAGCGGUGAAAUGCGUAGAUAUCAGGAGGAACACCGGCGGCGAAGGCGGCUUACUGGACUGUAACUGACGUUGAGGCUCGAAGGCGUGGGGAGCAAACAGG
RNAcentral lists this ribosomal RNA (252 nucleotides) under uncultured bacterium. RNAcentral describes it as "partial 16S ribosomal RNA". It matches the Rfam family "Bacterial small subunit ribosomal RNA", at positions 524 to 776 of the family's 1533-position model. The record is from RNAcentral.